Molecule: ribosomal RNA, 317 nt
Filed under: uncultured Pseudomonadota bacterium
Lineage: Bacteria; Pseudomonadati; Pseudomonadota
Description: bacterial SSU rRNA
Rfam family: Bacterial small subunit ribosomal RNA
Source: RNAcentral
AAUGAACGCUGGCGGCGUGGAUUAGGCAUGCAAGUCGAACGAGAAAGUAGUCUUCGGAUUGCGAGUACAGUGGCGGACGGGUGAGUAAUGCCUAGGAAUCUGCCUAGUAGUGGGGGAUAACGUCCGGAAACGGGCGCUAAUACCGCAUACGUCCUACGGGAGAAAGUGGGGGAUCUUCGGACCUCACGCUAUUAGAUGAGCCUAGGUCGGAUUAGCUAGUUGGUGAGGUAAUGGCUCACCAAGGCGACGAUCCGUAACUGGUCUGAGAGGAUGAUCAGUCACACUGGAACUGAGACACGGUCCAGACUCCUACGGGA